GGUUGGUCCCAGUGCAGUGGUGUUUACAACUAAUUAAUCACAACCAGUUACAGAUUCCUUUGUUCCUUCUCCACUCCCAUUGCUUCACUUGACCAGCCUUUA
RNAcentral lists this Y RNA (102 nucleotides) under Prolemur simus (greater bamboo lemur). Its description in RNAcentral is "Y RNA (ENSPSMG00000021258.1)". It matches the Rfam family "Y RNA". Rfam says of the family: Y RNAs are components of the Ro ribonucleoprotein particle (Ro RNP), in association with Ro60 and La proteins. The Y RNAs and Ro60 and La proteins are well conserved, but the function of the Ro RNP is not known. The record is from Rfam by way of RNAcentral. Lineage: Eukaryota; Metazoa; Chordata; Mammalia; Primates; Lemuridae.